This 1515-nucleotide ribosomal RNA is filed under the name metagenome. Its description in RNAcentral is "bacterial SSU rRNA". It matches the Rfam family "Bacterial small subunit ribosomal RNA". The record is from RNAcentral.
AGAGUUUGAUCCUGGCUCAGAUUGAACGCUGGCGGCAUGCCUUACACAUGCAAGUCGAACGGCAGCGCGGGAGCAAUCCUGGCGGCGAGUGGCGAACGGGUGAGUAAUACGUCGGAACGUGCCCAAUCGUGGGGGAUAACGCAGCGAAAGCUGUGCUAAUACCGCAUACGAUCUACGGAUGAAAGCAGGGGAUCGCAAGACCUUGCGCGAAUGGAGCGGCCGAUGGCAGAUUAGGUAGUUGGUGAGGUAAAGGCUCACCAAGCCUUCGAUCUGUAGCUGGUCUGAGAGGACGACCAGCCACACUGGGACUGAGACACGGCCCAGACUCCUACGGGAGGCAGCAGUGGGGAAUUUUGGACAAUGGGCGAAAGCCUGAUCCAGCCAUGCCGCGUGCAGGAUGAAGGCCUUCGGGUUGUAAACUGCUUUUGUACGGAACGAAACGGCCUUUUCUAAUAAAGAGGGCUAAUGACGGUACCGUAAGAAUAAGCACCGGCUAACUACGUGCCAGCAGCCGCGGUAAUACGUAGGGUGCAAGCGUUAAUCGGAAUUACUGGGCGUAAAGCGUGCGCAGGCGGUUAUGUAAGACAGUUGUGAAAUCCCCGGGCUCAACCUGGGAACUGCAUCUGUGACUGCAUAGCUAGAGUACGGUAGAGGGGGAUGGAAUUCCGCGUGUAGCAGUGAAAUGCGUAGAUAUGCGGAGGAACACCGAUGGCGAAGGCAAUCCCCUGGACCUGUACUGACGCUCAUGCACGAAAGCGUGGGGAGCAAACAGGAUUAGAUACCCUGGUAGUCCACGCCCUAAACGAUGUCAACUGGUUGUUGGGUCUUCACUGACUCAGUAACGAAGCUAACGCGUGAAGUUGACCGCCUGGGGAGUACGGCCGCAAGGUUGAAACUCAAAGGAGUUGACGGGGACCCGCACAAGCGGUGGAUGAUGUGGUUUAAUUCGAUGCAACGCGAAAAACCUUACCCACCUUUGACAUGUACGGAAUUCGCCAGAGAUGGCUUAGUGCUCGAAAGAGAACCGUAACACAGGUGCUGCAUGGCUGUCGUCAGCUCGUGUCGUGAGAUGUUGGGUUAAGUCCCGCAACGAGCGCAACCCUUGUCAUUAGUUGCUACAUUUAGUUGGGCACUCUAAUGAGACUGCCGGUGACAAACCGGAGGAAGGUGGGGAUGACGUCAAGUCCUCAUGGCCCUUAUAGGUGGGGCUACACACGUCAUACAAUGGCUGGUACAAAGGGUUGCCAACCCGCGAGGGGGAGCUAAUCCCAUAAAACCAGUCGUAGUCCGGAUCACAGUCUGCAACUCGACUGCGUGAAGUCGGAAUCGCUAGUAAUCGUGGAUCAGAAUGUCACGGUGAAUACGUUCCCGGGUCUUGUACACACCGCCCGUCACACCAUGGGAGCGGGUUCUGCCAGGAGUAGUUAGCUUAACCGCAAGGAGGGCGAUUACCACGGCAGGGUUCGUGACUGGGGUGAAGUCGUAACAAGGUAGCCGUAUCGGAAGGUGCGGCUG